GACUCGUGCGAUACCGAAGCACACGGGAACGCCUACAGUCUAUUUAUCGUCAAUCGAAAUUUUCAUUUUGACUCGAGAGUUUCUGCUGCACCGAAAUCGAAUUGAUUGAGACACAAUUGUUAAGAAGGAUAAACUUAGCCAUAGAGAAUCCUAAGAGUUAUAAAGACCCGCUCGUAAAUUUCCUUCAAGACUCGUUAAGAUGCCCUUUACUGAGGUUCCGAAGUGAAACUAUGAUUCAACCUGGCGUUUACGAGAAACAGUCGUUUAAAAUCUUAAGUCCAAGUAAAUCAUGGGAACUCAUAAAAGCCACAAGUCCACCAGUUGGGAAUGACAGUUCGCUGCGGCAUUGACAAGAUUGAAAAGCACAUUAAAGUUCAACAGCGAGGCCGAAGAUCGUAACUUGAUUUCGAGUAAUCCAAUAUGCGAGAACGUUACUGCCUUUCAUUGCAUUUGUGUUCACCAAUUGUUGCAGUAAACAAUGAAAAUUUACGAUGCGCUCUAGCUACGAGGGAAUGAAUUUUUAUCUCUAAUAAAUUGCGUACCGAUAAAAAGCUCGAACAAUAAACUAACGCAAAGCUUUUGCCCCUCUUGGUAUCAACCCUUAUCCGAAUAGUGACUAGCACAGGCUUACGAUCGAACGAUACACUUCCUGUUGCGUCCUAAGUGGAAACCUGCAACGCAUCUGAGCAGGGGGAUGCUGAUUUGUAUUCACGAGAUCAAGUCCACGUGUAAAAACCUUUUUCCGCCAAAUCGAACGUAUUAGCGGGACAUAAUCGUUGAUCAAGUAACGAGGUAGCAAUAUAAUGAAAUAAUUGGUGCAGGAGUAAUUAGAACGAGGGAUAAUCUCUAAAUUAAAAAUCAUCCCCUCUUACCAUCGUAUCGCACAGAAACAGAUAAUAACAGUUCCACAAGAUGACAAGGAAUCGGUGGACCUCGGUUUGAUUCUUCAACCGUAAAAUGUCCCUCCUAUAUGUUAAUAAGAAUACGUUGUACAGAGUGGAAAGAAUAUCCAAGCAAACUGCAACUUUAUUAUAUGCAAUAUAAAAUUCAAUGCUGAUAGUAUUACUCGUCAUUUCUGAAAAGAUUCUUCAUAAUGGCUGCCGAUGUAUGAGAAAAGAUUGGACUGAGAUGCAAUUCCUUUUUCCUAUUGCAAUAAAGUAACUUUACGAUAUUCUCUGCAGCCUUCUGUAUCCGCUAUUCGAUACGAAGAAAUUACAUUCUACACAGUUACAGGCACUUAUAAGCAUUGGACAAUAAUGCCACCCCCUAUGGUCACCCUACAAUUUACGUUUAUGAGAAUGAAAAGUACGACUGCAUGGUAGAACAUGGGACUGCGCAUCCAACCCUUAAGAAAAACAUAUUUUCCCACCGAAGUAUGUUCGACAUGAAAAUAUUUUUAUUCCGAGCUUGACUUCCCUCUGUAUGCAGAAAGAAAAUGCAUCCGCAUGCUGGCGCCAGAGAAAAGUUAUCUCGUGAACCUGCAAGAAAACGAAUGGGACGGGAAUUGCAGAAUUUUUUUGCAGUUCUCACGUAAUAGUCAUAAAUUGUAUUCUUCACCGUGGAAAUUCAUGAUGGAUUUUUACCAGGAUAGUGCGUGAAAAUGGAUUUAAGUCGCAUCCAAGUCGAGGACACGAAAAUGAAGAGCUUUCUUGAUGGAGUGGAAACAAGUUCCGUAGUAUCCAAGAUGGAGGGUAAAAAGUGUUUUGCUCAGCGAGACACUUCUCAGUUCUAAUAUUCUGCUGACUAAACUUCAGAAGCUGCCGACUGUAAUCUAGUUCGUCGAGAAGGGUGAAAUUUGAAUUUAAUCCGCCACCAAGAUUAUUGCUAGCAGCACGAUAAUCCGGGAGGAAAAUUUUUGAAAAAGCUGAAGAAUGGCCCCAAGCUCUCGGAAUAUUCCUACGACCCCAGGACCGUCUUCGUGGCUCGGUACGUGGAUGGAAACCAUAGUGGAAUCAAGGCAUUUGCCCGUUCUGGCUACGCUCGGAUGGUACCUAACGCAACGAGGAGCAUAAGGAUCGAUUCACAUGUAUCAGAGAAUGGCUCAGGUCGCGCAUACAUCCUGCUUCCUGAAUUCUCAUCUGGUACUGUUACACGUUUAGGAUAGGUAGCUGUAUUUACCCAGUAAAGGGGUUGCGUACUCUGCAGAGCAGACAACAUCAAGAUGGGAACCUGCAUAGCAUUAAGGGUAGGUUAACAGUUGCAAGAAUUACAGUGUUGCCAUAUCGGAAGGAUGCGUUAAGCCUAACUUUCAACCCUCGACGUACUCUUCGUUCAUCCCUCUGUGAAUGGGAUGGCAUUUAUUGCAACAAGGAUUCUCGGAGGGAACGGAUAAUGCAGGAAGCUGAAUUGUUGGACGCUGGAGUGGUGCAAGGGUUGUAUGGCUAGAAUGUUUGGAUCGCUGAUCAUACCUACCCCUAAUGAGUGCUAAUUGACGGCUGCUGAUUUUCUGGCAAAAUUACAUGGGUCUGUAUGUCAGGGUUGCAGUAGUCAACUCUGAACGGAAACGCAUGGGUAUUCUGUAUGUGUAGUGGGGGAUCAUCAUUUUCAUUAACAUGCAAUGCUCCUGGCAGGCACGUGAUUCAGUGCAGGAUGCGCUAUAGGGGUGUAUUCGUUAGCAACAGUCAGGAAGUCCUUCUGGGUAUAUACGUAGUCUACGGUGGAUGCUGUUUAAAAUUGAGGGAGGAAAUUUGAUGAAGGAAACAAAUUUUGUUAAUUGGGAAUGCUAUCGAUGACUAUAAUUAUUAGUUAGAAAUGGAAAUUUAUAAUAUCCAAGUGUCAAAGUGGCAGAAAUAUGAUCCAGUGGAUAUGAAGAUGGUGCCGAAAAUAUCAUCCGUAACGGCAAAGGAGAGAGAAUUUUUAUUCAGAGGCAGUUAAGGGAACCGGAAGCAGAAGUUCUAACCUGUAGGAAUAAAAUAUGGUCGGGAGUGUGUUGGGAUUCUUUAGGUAUAUUUUUUGCAUAGAUGACGCAAGGGAUGAAAGUGACCCUCGGAAAGGGAGAUAUGACGCCCUUAAAAUGUUUAGCCAAGCUUUCCGACCUGCGGACGAAACAUGAAAAAGCUGGCAAAGGAAAUUGAGGGAAAUGGGGGAAAAGGGUGGCGCACGUGGGUUUUGCUUGGCUAUAAUGAAAAAUUGGAGCACGUGCAAGGUCGGUAGGUGACAAGGGUAUCGCAGAUUUUAUAACCGAGUGUGAAUACGUAUGUACCUAACGCAGCCAUAUAUGUCUGUACCACGUAUGCAUACGUAUAGUCGGCGGAUAAAAUGUGAGGUGGGACGAGUAUCCGUUCUGAAAAGUUUCGCGAGAAAGUUUUGAAAAAAAACCGAGGCAAAUAUACCGCGACAAGCUACGAAUAUCAAAUUUACAAAGCGUGACUAAGAGUCGAAUUUGGAGAGUGCCAUUGAACAUUUUAGCUACUGAUGCUUGGGGAUAGGAGAAGAAACCGGAGUUCGAGAGGAGCGAUCGAAGCAGCUUUACGUUUCUGAUCAUGGUAAAUUCUAAAAAAAAAAGAAUUUGACCCUUUGAAUAAAGAACUUUCGAGGGUGAAUGGUCUCGAUGAAAAAGGAAAAAAAUAAAUAAAUUCCCUGUUCAAUUGAGAACCUCUAUUAAUGUAGGAGAGAUUAGGGCGGUUGAAUUUGUAAGCAUCGCAUCUAAGAAGGCCAUUGUGGCCACAGGGUAACCCAUCUCAUGCGUAUAACCCAACCUAUCAACCAUGCCAGGGGCUUCCUCCUCUCUACACGCAGGUAUAACCAUUUGCCGCAACUCCCUCUAUUCCACUUCCACCCCUUUCAUUAAAAUGAAAAAUAGUCAAUGGCUCCUGGAAUUUUUUUGAGGAAAUUCAAAAACCGGGAAAAUGGUCUGUAUCACGCAGCGGAUGAAUUCUCAAUCUCUAAGAAGUACCACUCUCAGCCUGUUUAUCGCAGUAGUUUAAUAGCUUUAAUUCCUGUUUCGUCCGAGAGAAUCCUCGAAUUUCACCCAUGAAAUUUCGAUUAAACACCAAAGAGAUCGACACGGGAAAUUCGAAGUUUUCGCAAGCUCGCUCUCGGGUCGCGUACAAUAAUGGAGUGACCUGAGUGCGGAAGAAAGGUAAAGCACGGCGUUAUGGAAAUAGCGUGUUAACGUAGAAAGUGGAACGCCCACUCAGGUAUACAGUAUCAAAUGCCAUGAAGUGAAAAGUAAAUGCGAAAAUUCUGCUAAUUAAAAAAUCCCACGAGAAUUAA
This is a long non-coding RNA of Cephus cinctus (wheat stem sawfly), 4215 nucleotides long. RefSeq lists it as uncharacterized. The transcript has 8 exons. The record is from RefSeq and is a predicted model, not a curated record. NCBI's taxonomy places the organism in Eukaryota, Metazoa, Arthropoda, Insecta, Hymenoptera, Cephidae.